This 200-nucleotide ribosomal RNA is filed under the name uncultured bacterium. Its description in RNAcentral is "partial 16S ribosomal RNA". It matches the Rfam family "Bacterial small subunit ribosomal RNA", at positions 524 to 723 of the family's 1533-position model. The record is from RNAcentral.
UACGAAGGGGGCUAGCGUUGCUCGGAAUCACUGGGCGUAAAGGGCGCGUAGGCGGCGUUUUAAGUCGGGGGUGAAAGCCUGUGGCUCAACCACAGAAUUGCCUUCGAUACUGGGACGCUUGAGUCUGGUAGAGGUUGGUGGAACUGCGAGUGUAGAGGUGAAAUUCGUAGAUAUUCGCAAGAACACCGGUGGCGAAGGCG